UACGUAGGUCCCGAGCGUUGUCCGGAUUUAUUGGGCGUAAAGCGAGCGCAGGUGGUUUAUUAAGUCUGGUGUAAAAGGCAGUGGCUCAACCAUUGUAUGCAUUGGAAACUGGUAGACUUGAGUGCAGGAGAGGAGAGUGGAAUUCCAUGUGUAGCGGUGAAAUGCGUAGAUAUAUGGAGGAACACCGGAGGCGAAAGCGGCUCUCUGGCCUGUAACUGACACUGAGGCUCGAAAGCGUGGGGAGCAAACAGG
RNAcentral lists this ribosomal RNA (252 nucleotides) under uncultured bacterium. RNAcentral describes it as "partial 16S ribosomal RNA". It matches the Rfam family "Bacterial small subunit ribosomal RNA", at positions 524 to 776 of the family's 1533-position model. The record is from RNAcentral.